GGCUAACACGACACCAUUUCGGCACACCCGGCUCGGCCAGCCCGACACUCCUCGCGCCAUUUGAGUUCACGGUCCGAGGGUGGUGGAGGAUCGGCGAGAGUACAUUUCGAAUAUUUUUCCAGAACCAAAAACCGUCAUGCAGUACCUACAUGGCUAGCACUGUACGGCUGUAUCCAAAGGUGUAUCUCAAAUAAAAAUCAAAAACUGAAAGACUAUAGCGAUGUCGAAGAUUAAAAUGAGCAGGGUAAUGUAUUCCGGUUUCUUGUAAAUAUAUUCAAGGAUAUUGCAAAUGGUCAGUUAUUUUAUUUUUUAACCGAAAUGUACUGACAUUUUGUCAAUCAUAUCGAUGGACCUUGAAAUACCAAUGUACUUUUGCAAACUGAUAUGAAUUUGUUAUUAUGUCUACUUGGUAUUGAUAAGGUCAAUCUUCCAAAUUUAGUUUCCUAAUUUCUAUACAUUUAGUUUGAAUAUAUAAAAUGUUGAUAAUUCAAAAUUGAAAUUAAAAAUCUUAAAAUGUGGCCUGGUCAUAAUGAAAUUCAUAUCAGUUUUCAGUACUUGUAUAGAAUUAUCAAGUUCAUUAGAAGGAUCGUCAUCGACAAAAAGUACAUACAAAUGAUAGCUACAUUCUUUAGCGUUCACUCGAGCGUCACCGCAUUGGUGAUAAGUACUUGCAUAUGUGAGCGCUCCACUAUAUUUUUAGACUUCAAUUACACCCUAGUUUUAUCAACUUAUUUUAUAAUAAAGUACCUGUGAAGGGUAAUGCAAAUACAUAUGACGUAUAGUAUACAAAUAUGGACAAUAAUGUCUUAGCAUGCGUAUUAUUUAAAAUUAAUAAUAAUACAGGAGUGAUAUAAAUGUAUUAAUGUAAUGAUCACUUACUAGACAGUAAUGCGUACACUUUUAAAAGAUCCACAUGUCUUAAACCCAAAAAAAAUUGUACGUAUGCAAUUUCCUUAAUUUGUACUAUAAAUAUUUUAUAAUUCAAAAUUUUUUUUUCCUUGUUAUCGAGAAUCGAGGGAGGAACUAGUGUUGGCAUUGCUAAUUUAACUUGUACUUGUUAGUGUUAAGAAUGGAAUACAUCAAUGCAGAUAUAAUUCAAAUGGUAGCACCAAUAUGAACGUUCAACUUCAUAGAUCUUCAUGGCUUCACCUUAUACUAAUAUAAAGCCUAUGGUUCUACUGCCUUAUAUUCACUUUUAAAAUCUUCACAAUUGAAGAAUUUAAAAAUUAUUAUGGAACUCAAGCAUUUUGUUUAAAAUAAAAUAUAGAACAUUGUAUCUUCAAUUCAUGAUGGAGAACCUGCAAUUUUUUAAAUCAAAACUAUAGCUAAUUUGUCCAAAAAUAAGAUUGACCUUAGAUUAAAUGACAUCAUCACAGCAUGUGAAUUGGUAAUUGAUAAAUUUAUGAAUGCCGUGGACAAAUAAAAGAUGAAAAGUACUAUAGUACUCUUGGCCCAAAUCCUCAUAUUGCAAUGAUUACUAGUAGAGCAUUUAAAGUUUUAGUGUUCAUUAUGCCUCUAUCUAAAGACUUUAAAUUGUCAAAAUCAUUAAAACCAUUAUAUUGUGCUUUAGUUUGUCCUAUUUUAGAGUACAGGUCUGUUGUCUGGGAUCCGUACACUGUUUCUGAUAUCAAUCAACUCGAACGUGUUCAACACAGAUUUUUAAGAUUUUGUUGUUUUGUGUUAGGCAUUCCCCAUUUAGCUCACAAUUAUACCAAUAUCGCUAACGUACUUGGCCUGCCUACUCUUGCUGAAAGAAGAAGAACUUUAAAUGUAAAACUUAUUUGUGAUUUAAUUACUAACUAUAUUGAUUUCCCUUGCUUGCUAUCCCAAGUUAACUUCAAUGUGACAAUGUCCCUUCGCAUGUAUCUUGUUCUCAUGUGACCUUCCAUGUUCCUACCGCCAACACAAAUUAUCUGUAAAAUGAGCCUUUGAGGUGGAUUAUGUCACUUGCCAAUGAGGACCCCUUUGAUGAUAAUUUGUUCUAAUGUUUCUUAAGCACUAUUAAUAAACUCUUAAGUUUAAUAUAAGCGUUUUAAUUGUUUACUUAAUUACUGUUAAAUAUAAUUGUACUUCGGUUAUUUACAUAUAAUAUUAAUAUUUCUCAAUUUUCUACUUUUAUUCUAAUAAUUUGUACUGUACUUUAAUUAUAGGGGAAACCCUCGUAUUUGUAAUAAAUAAAUAAAUAAGUAGUUUUCAGCAAAAGUUGCCCUCGACUUUAGCGCGACUGGUAUAUGUUUUUACGCAAUGACUACUAAACAUGUGCCGAACAAAGCGUAGACAAUUUUAAUUAAUUACUCAUUAAUAACCAGCUCUCUACCUGCCAAUGUAGAGAACCACUGUUUUUCUGAAAUAGCGUCACUAGUUGUGUCACUGUUGAGGACCACUUUUGCUGAAAUCUACUAUAGUAUGAAUAUCGUUUUUACUGUUGGAAAUUAUUUAGGCUUUAUGAACAUUUUUUUUCUCAUUUCAUAGGUCAAUUUCAACACCAGUUACAGUCCAAUUUAAUUUUUAUUUCAAUACAUUAAAAGUUUCAAAUUACAACAAUUUUUUUAUAAAGUGUCCCUCUUGUAUUGUGUUAACUCUUGUGUAUCUAAUAUAACAUCAUAGGUAUUUAUUUGUUUUUAAGGGUACUAUACAUUUAUAUUAAAUGUAUGUAUAGUAUUGUUAACUCUACUUUUUUUAAACCACUAAUAAGUAUCUGUUUAUAAUUUAAGCUUAUAAAAAAAUGUACACAACUUUACAGUAAUAAUAAAUUAAAUUUCAAAUUAUUACAAUUUCAUGUUAUACCUACACUUUUAUGUAUUAUUGUCCCUAUUCUAUAUGCAUUCUUCCCUUGGUUCAGUAAUAGCACAAACUAUUUAUUUUAUGGUUUUCCUAGCUAAAAAAAUUAAUAUUUGUGUUUACUUACACUGUCUACUGUGUAGUAUUACUGAUAUGUAUUUUAUUGAACAGUAUGGUUUAGAUAUUUGUUUCUAAAGAACACUACUAUACAAUUGUACAAAAUAUACGGGAGUUAAUACCUGCAGAAUUGUCAACCAUACUUAUUUUUAAGCCACUAAUGUGUAUCUCUAUAGGUUUAUAAAAUAUGUAUCAUACUUACCAUUGUAUUAAUUAUAAAUUGAGUUUCAAAUCAUUACUAUUUCAUGUUACACACCCAAUUUUAUAUUUUAUUAAAAUUUACCUUACUCUAUAUGUAUUCUUUGACCUAGUUCAUAACUAGUAGACCAUAUUUUGUUUUAUGAUUUAAAAACUUUUAUAAUUGUUUUCUUAUAAGCUCAAAUAUAUUUUGUAAAACAAAGUACGGUCUUCUAAGCUACAUCACCAAAAAUAGUGUUAAUGUACAAUAAUAUGUUUUUGUGAAAAAAUAAGUGUAAAUGUAUUGUAUUUCCUAUAUAAAUGUUUAAAUAAAAAUGCAAUAUGUACUUAUCUAA
Molecule: long non-coding RNA, 3431 nt
Organism: Myzus persicae (green peach aphid)
Lineage: Eukaryota; Metazoa; Arthropoda; Insecta; Hemiptera; Aphididae
Exons: 3
Source: RefSeq, a predicted model, not a curated record